GGGGGUGAUCGGUUUCGACGGUGGUCGUCUGUCCAGGAGAAGCGGGCCGAGGAGGCACGGUUAUCUCGAUAACGCUCCGUGCAAACCAAUAGGUGCCGAUUCCAAGCGCACCGACUUCGCCCUCGCCGCCUGAGCGAGCUCCGAAGUCCGUCGGCCUGAGCUCGUCCUCGACUCAGUAACCGGCGUCAGCUAGAGGACUAGCCGUGUCGCCAUGCCGAGGGGUGACACGGGACACUUACUCGGCUGGGCCUGUCGGAGGACGCGUGCGUGCGAGCUCCGGGGCCGAGAAAAUCCAUAGCGCACUGCGCCCGGAGAAGUCCUGGUCUCGCGUCAUCGGACGCGGGUUCGAUUCCCGCCACCUCCACCA
RNAcentral lists this transfer-messenger RNA (367 nucleotides) under Actinomycetota bacterium. It matches the Rfam family "transfer-messenger RNA". Rfam says of the family: Bacterial tmRNA, also known as 10Sa RNA or SsrA, is named for its dual tRNA and mRNA-like properties. Its role is to liberate the mRNA from a stalled ribosome. The record is from RNAcentral. Lineage: Bacteria; Bacillati; Actinomycetota.